This 766-nucleotide long non-coding RNA is filed under the name Daphnia pulicaria. RNAcentral describes it as "uncharacterized LOC124350348, transcript variant X1". The record is from RNAcentral. Lineage: Eukaryota; Metazoa; Arthropoda; Branchiopoda; Diplostraca; Daphniidae.
AUCCAAACUGUUAUAUAGUAGCAUGCGACAUUGGAUGCAAAUUUAUCUAAACAUUUCAAUAGAAGUUUCGUGCAAAAAAGGUUUCUAGAAUUCAGAAAUCUUAUAGCGCUUUCGAAGGUUUAUAGCAGUUUAGAUAGAAUGUUUGACGAAAAUAAAACCGAGUGUCGAAUUGACGAAAGGAGGAUACUCUUCUGUCGAUGAUUCAUCUCAUCGACUAUUAUGUGUGAUGAAUUAUUCCCACUUCUUGACGUUACCGGUUCUACCAUGACUAGAGGAGCCGCAAUUUUUUAAAACAAGAUUCGCUCGAGAUUUGACUUGUUGAUCAGUGACGACUGACGUGACUGUUGGCUCACUUGGCUGUCGUUCAGCAAUGCUCACUUGUGGGCCAUCCUUUCGUAUCUUUGAGGCAUGGGGGAGUUGAGCCUGCUCCAGCUACCCGGCCAGCAUCAUUCGACUACAUAGCCGACUUGUACUACCCCAGCUGGUUAAAGUUUCAAGCCAGAUUUAAGCAAAUAAAAUUUCCAACUUCAACUACUGAUCUUCAGCUUUAUACAUCCCAAAAGGUUUGGAGGCAUGUCACUGAUAAGCGAAUCAUACAGUUUUACUACUCUUCUCUCUAUUUGUUGGUGUAUCUGAAGCAGUGAUCAAGGUGGUGAAAUUCUAUUGGUGCCAAUCCCUGCUAUUUCCGUUUACCAAUAGGAGAAACACCAUAAACCACCCAUGACAGAUAGAGGCAAAGUUAAUUUAAGCAAAAGCAUCAUCAACA